UUCCCACCUCUUUGGGUGGGUGGAACAUGGGUGUUGAACUGGAAUGGAUGACGCAAUCACUUUUCUCUGGAAUCCCUGAAACUUUCUCCCACUCAGAGAGCAGGGAGUAUAAGGGCCCCAGAAUGCACCUCCUCCAGGCAGACCCACGCAUCAAGGAGACAGGGAGAGAAGAAGAGAGGAGAGCAGCUGCAGAACUGCUGUCACGCCAGACUUGAAGUCUUACAGGCUGUCUUCAUACAAUUCCCACCGACCAGAAGAAACAAUUCAAAGAGUUUUCUGAAAUAGGAACUGCUCUGGGACAUCUUAUUGUGAAUUAAAUGUCAAGUGAAGACCAUCAUGAAAGCAGUGAUCUUCUCCAUUGUUCUACUGGUCGGCAUAGCCAUCUCCAUGGCAGGAGCAGAGGCAACGAAGGCACCUCGUUGCCAUUGUGCUAGCACCCGCAAAACACCACUCAACACCAAAAGGAUAACUACAAUUCGACAGAUCCUACCUCGACCACACUGUCCCAGGGAGGAAGUCAUUGUCAAAUUGAUAACUGGAGAAUCAGAGUGUCUGGAGCCAACUGGGGAUUUUGCCAAAAUGUUGAUCAAGAGAAUGAAAAGCCAUCUGAAGAGAAGACAGUCGGAAGUUAUAAACACCAGCACCAUCCUUCCUAUUACAGCUGAACACACUCAAAUCACAGGAUCAUUGUAGUGACAUGCUGCCUGUAAAGUUACCUCCAACGUAUGCUGCUCAUAUUGGCAAUGGAGUUCUUUGUUUUUAAACUUGUGAAAACGUAUACAUUUUGUACUUGGGCACUUUGGACAGAAUUUUAAUUUGUCUAAAUCCAACACCAAUAUUAUUGUUCAUAAAAAAGUGUUUUUGUCCUGAUAUGUAAACGUUUUGACUAUAAAUUAAUCCAUCAUCA
Long non-coding RNA from Osmerus eperlanus (European smelt), 907 nucleotides. RefSeq lists it as uncharacterized. NCBI's taxonomy places the organism in Eukaryota, Metazoa, Chordata, Actinopteri, Osmeriformes, Osmeridae. The record is from RefSeq and is a predicted model, not a curated record. The transcript is spliced from 4 exons.